CCAGCCUCAUCAGUGCUCAUUAGUGGGACGGAGCAGAGAGCCUUAAUUCACGAGUGAAAACAGUGGUUUAUGCAGACCAGCGGCGGGAGGAGGGAGACGCCGCUCGCUCCUCCCGCCUCCCUGGCUACCCCCGUUUUUCACGCCCUUCCCGCCCCUCGCACGCCCCUCCGUCCGGAUAUUGAUUCCUCCUGACGACGUCGCUGGGGACGCCACGCCGGACACCACCACCACCACCACCACUACUACCACCACCACCACCACCACCACCACCACCACUACUACCAGGUUCAAGAUCUCAUUACAGUGGGGACCUUCAGGCUGCCUCAUCUACCGAAGUCUCUCCCCAGCAGUGUCUCUUCCACCUCCUCAUCCCCCCAUUCUCCUCCUCCUCCUCCUCCUCCUCCUCCUCCUCCUCCUCCUCCUCCUCCUCUUUCUCCUCUUCCUCUUCCUCUUUUCUUCCUCCUCCCUGCGGUGCGUGUGGUGUAGUGUGGCUGGGAGGCGCGGCACCAAGGUCAAGGGUGUUAAUGGCAAGGUGUUGACCCCAAAACUAGCUCUUCGUGACCUUGGUGAGGCUGUGACGGCUGCCCUUUGUGUGUUUGACUUAGUGCUGUGACCCUGUGUGUGUGUGUGUGUGUGUGUGUGUGUGUGUGUGUGUGUGUGUGUGUGUGUGUGUGGCGGGGGGUGGAGGUGAGCUUCCCCUUCUCUUUCCCUAUCCUUCUUCCUCCUUCAUCUCCUCCUUCUCCUCCUCCUGCUGCGUCUCCUCCUCCGUCAGUGUGGUGCUCCGGCCUGAAGAUCAUCUGCUGUGCGUGCCACAAUGAACUACGCCAAAAAGAAAGCAACAUUACACACACACACACACACACACACACACACACACACACACACACACACACACACACACACACACACCCUACAAGGUGGACAACUCAGAGAGGAGGAGAGACUUGGACCAAUAAAAAAACGAAGAAAGAAAAAUGAAAGGAAAAGAAAAUUGCGUGAUAGAUAUGGAGAGAGGAGAGACACUGCCAUUUCACAUCUGUUAUGCAUAUGAGAAAUGACGACGUGCAGGUGUGGAGGAAGAUAAACAGAUGUAAGGGAGGUGUGCUAUGAUCAGGAAAGGUGGGAGGAUUAUCAGAACAGGUGUGUGGGGAGAUAAACAAACAUGUAGCAAAAACAACAGGUAUGGGAGGAAGAUAAAGAACGAGAGGAGAAAAAGGAGGAAGAUAAAAUAGGAGAAAGGAGGGAGAUAAAAGAGAAGGGAAGGAAGGAGGAAGUAAGAAGAUAAAAGGGGAAGGAAGAAAGGAGGAUGAAGAGAUAAAGGAAGGGGUGAAAGGAGAAAGGAUGGAGAUAAAAGAGGAAGGAAGAAACGAGAUAGAUAGAUAAAUAGAUAGAUAGAUAGAUAGAUAGAUAGAUAGAUAGAUAGAUAGAUAGAUAGAUAGACAGAGAGAGAGAGAGAGAGAGAGAGAGAGAGAGAGAGAGAGAGAGAGAGAGAGAGAGAGAGAGAGAGAGAGAGAGAGAGAGGAACAAGAUAAAAAAAAGGAAAAGGAGAGAAGGAAGGAAGAUAUGCAGUAGUUGGAGGGGAGAUAAACACGGAAUGAAGAAGGAAGAAGACACAGGUGAGAUGUAGAAGAGAAGACAAAAAAAAAAAAGGUGUAGGAAAAGAAGACAGACAGAUUCCUCCAGCUUGUUCUCAUAUCCUCAGCCAAUCUUCUCCCUUCCCUCUCCAUUGACUGAAUGAUACUUUGAAGCAGCAACAAAAGAUCAUAAUGGUGUCAUGAAUCAAUGACAACCUUUAUUCCGGUUCCUACUCUUGGUGGCAACACAGUGCAUCCCUACCAUUGUGUGUUGGAAUAGACGGGAUGGAGUAAGGGUCGUAUCAUCUGAUUUUUGUGGUCAUGUGGUCUUUUUCUUUUCUUUUUUUUAGGGUGCCAAACUAUCAGUCAUUUAUUCAAUUCAUCAAUCACUAACCCUUGUUAUUAUUUUUCUCUUGUCUUCUGUCUUUUUUUCUUUACUUUAGUUUGUGUUAUUACCUUUCCUUCUGCCUUUUCUGCCUCACUUAUCCAUCUAUAUUUCCGAAUGCUUCUUUAUAUUUUUUAUAUUUUUUUCAGCCUCUUACAUUAGUUUCCUUCACUCUAGUUUCUUUCCCCACCUCUUCUCUUCAUGUCCUUCCUUCCAGCUUGUCUAGCCAUGUCUUCACUGUAUCUCCUCAGGUUUGCUUUCCUAUACCGUUUAUUUCCAGCCUUCCUUCCUGCUCCUCUCUCUCUCUCUCUCUCUCUCUCUCUCUCUCUCUCUGUCUCUCAGUCUUCACAUCCCCUUUCGUUCCGUCUCUCCUUCACUCACUUGAUCGGCUUCUCCCUCACGCAAAGAGACAGCCAGACCCUCCUCCCUUUGAGCGCCGCGUGCGUCCCUCAUUCAAUGUCCCCACAAGUUUGCGGGUCGCCCAGCCUCGCCCUAUUCACCUGGCCCGGCCUGGGGUGAGGCGGGGAAGGUGGUGUCAAGACGGGGAAUACACAGAAGGGGUGUGUAUUGGGAGAGAAGGUCACGUAUGGAUGAAGGUUAGAUGUGUGUGUGUAUGUGUGUGUGUGUGUGUGUGUGUGUGUGUGUGUGUGUGUGUGUGUGUGUGUGUGUGUGUGUGUGUAAGAGAACGAGGGAACAUAGGAAUAGUAGAUAAAUUUAUAGAUAAGGAAAGAAAAGUUUGUA
Molecule: long non-coding RNA, 2700 nt
Organism: Scylla paramamosain (green mud crab)
Lineage: Eukaryota; Metazoa; Arthropoda; Malacostraca; Decapoda; Portunidae
Exons: 3
Source: RefSeq, a predicted model, not a curated record